RNAcentral lists this ribosomal RNA (433 nucleotides) under uncultured bacterium. Its description in RNAcentral is "partial 16S ribosomal RNA". It matches the Rfam family "Bacterial small subunit ribosomal RNA", at positions 29 to 507 of the family's 1533-position model. The record is from RNAcentral.
AACGAACGCUGGCGGCAUGCCUAACACAUGCAAGUCGAACGAGACCUUCGGGUCUAGUGGCGCACGGGUGCGUAACGCGUGGGAACCUGCCCUUAGGUUCGGAAUAACUCCCCGAAAGGGGUGCUAAUACCGGGUAAUGUCUGCGGACCAAAGAUUUAUCGCCUUUGGAUGGGCCCGCGUUGGAUUAGCUAGUUGGUAGGGUAAAAGCCUACCAAGGCGACGAUACAUAGCUGGUCUGAGAGGAUGAUCAGCCACACUGGGACUGAGACACGGCCCAGAAUCCUACGGGAGGCAGGAGUGGGGAAUAUUGGACAAUGGGCUAAAGGCUGAUCCAGCACUGCCGCGUGAGUGAUGAAGGCCUUAGGGUUGUAAAGCUCUUUUACCCGGGAUGAUAAUGACAGUACCGGGAGAAUAAGCACCGGCUAACUCCGUG